Molecule: long non-coding RNA, 3744 nt
Organism: Triticum aestivum (bread wheat)
Lineage: Eukaryota; Viridiplantae; Streptophyta; Magnoliopsida; Poales; Poaceae
Exons: 5
Source: RefSeq, a predicted model, not a curated record
UAUCAUUUUUUUUCUGGCGAAAGCAAAUCCCGAAACGCCUCGUCCAGUGCAGCCCCCGACCCCUAGCUCCCAGUCCUCCCUCCCUGCGCCGCCGCUCAUCGCGCCGGCCACCACCACCUCCCUCCCUAGACAGCCUCCACCACCCCCUCCUCCAGCAGCCAUGUACAGCGGAGCGACGACCACGCGUCUGGCCUAGGUGAGUCCCGGCCUCCCUCUUCCCUUCGUCCAAGGCCAGGAGUUCCCCUCCACGACCUGAUCUGACGGAGCCACAUCCGGCUGGGGGAGCCUCCGUAGAGCCUCCACGUCGGCGGAGCAGCAGCAGCCCGAUAGAAGGUGGGUGCCCAAUCGCCGUCCAGCAUCUCGCCGUUUUCUCGAUCCGGUGCAUGGUUCAACCUGCACGGAGGGCGGUGGAACCGAGACACGGCAGCUUCACCUCCACAGGCGGCUUUCUUAUCGACCUCCUAUGAGCGGCGGCGGCGGCGGCCAGGUCAGAGCUUGAUAUAUUCCAAGUUCCAAAAAAUAAAUCCAUUAACUCAUAUGUUUGUAAAUUUUGUAAGGAGUGCAUAUGGCCUGAUGUUCCUUGUGUGUAUCAUGAGGAUUUGGGAGCAUCGGCGACAGACAAUUAACUAGCUAAUUGUCGUCUCUCAGCUCUGAACGGUACAUCAUGUGUGGCAACUUCAGCUUUGUACCAGGGAGUGAGGAUAUGCAGAUUUUCGGAUGGAGAGUGGCGACCCAAUCUCUUGCUACCAAACAUAACACCUACAGAAGAACUAUUGUAUUGGAAGAUGUUUGUGACAUUUGUGGGACGGAAAGUGAAGACGAGUAUCAUGUUGUAGUCUCAUGUACUCGCAGUAGGGCGAUGAGAUGUGCUAUGAGGGCUUUCUGGGACCUUCCAAAGGAACAUGCCUUUGGUCCAACAGGCAAGGAUUGGUUACAAUGUCUGCUUAUCCCUAAUUCCGAGCAUAUCAGAUGCAAAAUCCUGAUGAUUCUUUGGAAAACAUGGCAGCUUAGAAAUAAUCUAAUCCAUGGAGAUGGGAAGGAGACAGUUACUUAGGCUCAGUGAUGAUCUUGAGAUGGCUACACUUGCAACUGACAGAACGGGAAGCAAAAGCACCCUUUCUGUGCAUGUCCAGAGCAUUUGCAAGCCAGUUACCCUUGCUUGCAAUCGGUGGCGCGCACCACCAGAAGGAACUACCAAACUGAACUCUGACGCUGCAUUCUUACAUGAGGCGGAUGACUCGGGGAGGAGCAGUUGUUCGGGAUUUCAGUGGCAAUCCUCUUCUGUCUGUCGGCUGUUAGUUACAACAGUGUACGUCGAUAGAAGAAGCCGAAGCCUUUGUGGCUCUGAUGGGUUUGUCUGAGCUAAAGAAAUUUUUCACGGGGCAUAUACUAAUUGAGACAAAUUGUGCCACCAUUGGACGAGAGCUUCAAUCGGAAGGAGUGUGCAGAUCGUUGUGGUUUGCUGUGAUGACAGAUAUUAAAGAACAGAUCAAAAUCUUUGCAAGCGUGCAGAUUAACAUCGUAAAGCAGGAUCAAAACAAAUUGGCCCAUGAGAUUGCGGUGACGGCGAUAAGAUUGGGCGAUCACCUCCGUUUAACAGAUGUGCAUGAUAAUGUUAGACAAAUUCUAAUGUCAAAGUGUAUUCCCACCAAUGCAUAGCUUGUUGCUUUGGUUCUAGAAAAACAAAAACAAAUUACGCUAUAGAUUUUCACUCUUAGCUAGAUGCAUACACAUAGGCCUUUAUUUAGUGCAUUUCAAAUAAACCUGGGCAUUUAAUGGUUUAUCGGUUUAUGUGUGCAAGAUACAAGAAGAAGACUAAGGAUCUUAUUAAGGAGCAUGUUGAGAGUGAAGAUGAUGCUGCAGAGUAAUAAUGUUGACACUGUGAUAUCUCGAUACCAAUAGCUUCGGUUUGUCCACGUCAUCGUGAGGUGGAGUGCCAAAAUGCCUGAAGCUUAUGACAUGGGUGAAGCUGCAAGUGCAAUGCAAGUGUUGUGCUCCGUGAAUAGCAAGCCCAUUUGGGGAAUGUAUUUGAACAAUGACCCAAGCAGUCGCACAAGCAGAUCUGCACAUAUUAUUACCAAGGUUGCGAACCAGAUGCGCCAUUGACGGCGAUGGCAGGUUUGGAUUGGGAAGGAGAAGAUGAGAAGAUAGUUGGGGAGUAAGAAGGUGUAAAAUCGACAAUAUCGUCUUAUGUGCAUGAGGAUCCUAAUGGUAUAUGUUUGACGCGAUUGGUGCUAAACUACUAAGAUAUGUGGUGGCGCGAGGUGGGGGUCGGCAAUGAGGCGGCUAUGCUGCAUGAGGCAGUCAAGUCCGAGGCUGCACUGGGGAGGCACGUGCGGUGCCUGCCCCAAGACCCCGUUGGGGCGAGGCAUGGGCGGCACCCACCCUCCCUGUUAUUGCCCUGCGGGGUCAGGCUGCCCCUCUUCCCAGAGGUCAACGCCGGUCAGUGUGCUUCUGGUUUCUACAGUAGCAGAGGCGACCAGGAGGGCACGUAUGGGGUGUGUACAUUGAAAGGACCACUACGAUCAUGCUCGAUUCGCUUCGAGCAGGACCAUGGCGUCAAUUCCAACGCCAUCCGUGAGAUCUCCCUCUUCAAGGAUGCGCAACAUCCAAACAUGGUCAGUACUGCAACCCUCUUGUCUUCCUCUCCCUCCCUGCAUGGUGGUCGCUGUCAGCAUCAGCAUCAAGGUUUAGGGUGCCUUUCGUCCCUCUUGUAUGGAUGGAUAGGUUGGUGUGUUUUGUUCUUUCUUUCUUUGUUGCCAUGUAGGUUGCAGGAGGAGGUGCACACGUGCACAAUGAGAAGUGCAUAUGCCGACUCAUCCCGGAGACCAGAACUUGAAAUAUAUAGACACAUACACGUAGUCAAGGCAGAUGCCAACAAAAAAAAAUGAUUUGAUUUUAUUUGGCUUGUUUAUCAAUUGUCUCUUACUAUUUCCUAACAUUUCCUCAGUUUGGCCCUGAAAUACUGAUGUACUUUGGUUGUAUUUGUUGACUUGUUGUUUCAUUCAGUUUGCAAGGGUUACCUUGUGCAAAUUCUUAACACAGUCAUCAUAAUUGCAUCUAUAGCAAAUAGCUAUUAUCGAAAUGAUAGACCACUCCAAGAUUAUGAUUGUACUAUGCCAAAUUGCCAAUUUCUAUUACUAGGAGUAAAAUACUCGUGUAUCUCUAAAAAAACAACUACUAAUGUACUCCCUCCGGAACAAAUAUAAGACUGUUUAGAUCACUAAUUUAGUGAUCGAAACUGUCUUUAUAUUUGUUUACGGAGGGAGUAUCAUGCAAACAUUUGAGGCACCCUAGCGAAGAUGCAUGGCGGCAGAAGCGAUACUCCGAGCACAUGGUCGCCGCGAGAGCCUCGCCGGGGGAGAAGAAAAUGGCAAAGAAUCCAUCAAAAUUCAUGGUGUUGAUGUGGAAGGUUGGGGGAUUUUUAGACGGAUGCGCCAUUGAUGGUGGUUGCGAUCUUGGCAGCAAGCGCUUGGAUUGGGAAGAUAGAGAUAGUGGGUGAAGAGGAGGAGAAGGAGCCCGAAUAAGAAGAGUGCUUUAAGGGUAGAAAAGAAGUCAACAAUGAUGCUUAAUGUGCAUUAGGAUCCUAAAGAUGUAUGUUUUGGACAAUUAAGCACUACCAUAUUUAUACCCCUGUUGCAACACAAAGGCUGAUUAGUUCAAAUUUAUUUGCUUUAAGGGUUUUUGUAACGAUGGUGUAUGUUGCACUACAAAAACGCAAUAAAAAUUAAUAUUUUGUCUUCA